This 462-nucleotide ribosomal RNA is filed under the name uncultured bacterium. RNAcentral describes it as "partial 16S ribosomal RNA". It matches the Rfam family "Bacterial small subunit ribosomal RNA", at positions 338 to 795 of the family's 1533-position model. The record is from RNAcentral.
CCUACGGGCGGCUGCAGUGAGGAAUAUUGGUCAAUGGGCGCGAGCCUGAACCAGCCAAGUAGCGUGAAGGAUGACUGCCCUACGGGUUGUAAACUUCUUUUAUAAAGGAAUAAAGUGAGGCACGUGUGCCUUUUUGUAUGUACUUUAUGAAUAAGGAUCGGCUAACUCCGUGCCAGCAGCCGCGGUAAUACGGGGGAUCCAAGCGUUAUCCGGAGAUACAUGGUGUAAAGAGUUAGGUUAGAUGGAUAAUAGUUAGCGAGGGAAAUUUGGUGGCUUAACCUUUCAGACUAUUGGCUAAACUGUUAGGCUCGAGACCAGUAGAGGUAAGUGGAAUUGCUAGUGUAGCGGUGAAAUGCGUAGAUAUUAGGAGGAACACCAAUAGCGAAGGCAGGUUACUGGAACGGUACUGACACUGAGGCUCGAAAGCGUAGGGAGCAAACAGGAUUAGAUACCCCAGUAGUC